CGGAUUNAAGGCUGAAAUUCGCCUUCAUGAAGCUGGAAUUGCUAGUAAUGGCAGGCCAGCAUACUGCCGUGAAUAACGUUCCCCGGGCCCUUGUACACACCGCCCGUCACACCAUGAGAGUUGGAAAUACCCGAAGCCUGUGAGCUAACUUAAAGAGGCAGCAGUCGAAGGUAGAGCCAAUGAUUGGGGUGAAGUCGUAACAAGGUACC
RNAcentral lists this ribosomal RNA (209 nucleotides) under uncultured bacterium. RNAcentral describes it as "partial 16S ribosomal RNA". It matches the Rfam family "Bacterial small subunit ribosomal RNA", at positions 1294 to 1500 of the family's 1533-position model. The record is from RNAcentral.